CCUAAGAGAUACGUGUUAUGUGAAGUGCUCACACAGAUUGUCUGAUGAAGAACGAGCAAAAGCGCGUCUGCGAAGCUGACAGAAGUCCCCUUCGUCUAGAGGCCUAGGACACCGCCCUUUCACGGCGGUAACAGGGGUUCGAAUCCCCUAGGGGACGCCAAUGCGCGGUAUGAGUGAAAGGCGUACCACUUAUCUGACGAGAGUCAGAGAAUAACUAAGCUAAUUCAAAUGAGUUAUCUUACUUAUUAUGCUCUUUAACAAUCUGGAACAAGCUGAAAAAUUGAAAACAAAUCAAUAUAUCACCGAGGUAUAUUGAUGAGUCUCUCAAAAUCUCAAACCUUAAAGUUUGUCACGCAAAGUUUAUCUUUGAAGGAGACACUUUCGGGUUGUGA
RNAcentral lists this unclassified non-coding RNA (392 nucleotides) under Proteus mirabilis. RNAcentral's name for it is "partial 16S-23S ribosomal RNA intergenic spacer". The stretch from base 85 to 157 matches the Rfam family "tRNA". The record is from RNAcentral. Lineage: Bacteria; Pseudomonadati; Pseudomonadota; Gammaproteobacteria; Enterobacterales; Morganellaceae.